GCCAGUCAUAAUAGAAAUUAAGGUAAAACUAAUUCCUUCACAAAUGUUUUCACGAUCAAAUAAAAGAUAAACAUUAUCUACAUUUUGAGAAAAAAGUCCUCAAAAAAUCUCCUUGCAGAAUCCUGAAAAAUCGAUCAUAAAGAUUUAGUAAAAAUCGAUAUUUAAAUGUGUCUCUUAAAUUACACCAUACUUUAAUUUUAUGCACGUUCGGUGACGUCACGUUUAUUAUAUUUUCGUUGAAAGAUCUGAAGUUACUUCAAUUCCAGCAUUCCUAGUGCAAAGAGGAAGGGCUAAACAUAGUAUGGGAUGGUUGAUUGCAGAAGACAAUAUUUAGCGAGAGUCCAGCCUUUUAUAUUUUGGCGAACAAUCCGUUGAUUGGAUGUGGCAAGAGUUUUCCAUAUUUCCAAGUUAGGAGAGGCUAAAUGGGUUCUGUUUGAAAAGAUCCAGCAUUUUUGAAAAGUAAUUAACAGAUGCGAAAAAAUGUGUCUCUGUGAAAAGGGCAGGCUAAAAGUUUCAACAGCACCGGCCGAAAUAGUGGAGAUGUAAUUUCAGCAUUGAACAAGGGCUGGGCAAUAUGUAUAUAUACAUGUGUAGCGUUGUCAGACUAUAUGGAUAGUCGGGCCUCGGUGACUAAAAUGAUGAAAUAACAUUUUAUUUUACAAAACUUCCAUGGUAAAGUAAGUGCAAUUAAGCAUUGGUAAGAUAUUUACUUGAAGGAUUGAUUUUUAGAACAGAAAUACAAAUACAAUGCAUAUAAAUAAUAAUUAUUCGUGUAAAAUGUAUUGCAAUUUUGAAUUAUAAUAUUAAUUUAGAUAGAUUCAUACAACUUUUUUCUUGGUAGAGCUAACUUGUAAGAAUAUUAAAUGGAAUCUGACUUAAAGUAAAAAAAAUAAUUUUAUCAUUAGUGGGUGGGGUAAUGUUUUAUACCAGUCUAAAUGAUGAUGUAUAGAUUAUGCAGUGUUGCGACUUUUUGAAUGUAAUCAACAUUGGUUGAAGUGUUUUAGAUUAAAUAAAGCAUGUUUGUGUAUUAAAGUGUUACUUUGUUAAUGAUCAUAUUUGCGUAGAAUAUCUGGGUUAUUUAAUUUCACAGAUUUUUCUAAUUGAAAACACAUGAUUUCAAAACAUGACAUUUUUAGCAUUUUAUACUUCGAAUUUUUUUGAGGACUUUUUUCCUGUAGCAACACAUAUAUAGUAGAUAACAAAUAUGCAAAUAUCUUUUCUGAAGGAAUUUGUUUGAGGUUGGGUCUUAUUUUGGGCUAAAAUGCCU
Ruditapes philippinarum (Manila clam) is the source of this 1267-nucleotide long non-coding RNA. RefSeq lists it as uncharacterized. NCBI's taxonomy places the organism in Eukaryota, Metazoa, Mollusca, Bivalvia, Venerida, Veneridae. The transcript has 3 exons. The record is from RefSeq and is a predicted model, not a curated record.